CCUCUCGCACUCCUCUAGGCCCUUCCCACCACUAGCCCGAGCUCGAGCAGCUCUCCUCGACCCCCAACCCUGCCGUGGCCGCUGCUCCCUCCCUCCUAAAUUGGCUCGAAGCCGAGCCUCUUCCCCCACUCCACCACCUCUAGACGCCUCCUGCUCCACCUAGAAGCCGCCCCGGUAUCCUCCUCCUUCCCCGGUGGCUCUGGUCCUCGAGUUCGCCGGAGCCCGUAGACCCCUUCCGCCGGCGCCCGCAUUGCCAUCUCCCUGGACCACCCCGUCGUCCGUGGAUGAGCCCUGGAGAUGCGCCGGAGCCCGCUGAGCUCACCCAUAUGUGGAGCCUCACCGGAGAUGCUCCGUAGCUCCGGCAGGCCUCGUCGGGGCUGGCUGUGCCGCGGCCAGGCGCAAGCGAGAGGAGGGAGAUGACGACACCGAAGCCAGCUCACCAGUCGGCCCCGCGACCCCACCCGUCAGCCGCACAGGGGGUUGACCCGACAAAGCUGUCGUGGAUAAGUGGACGCGGGAUUUGCAUGUAUGCGCUUUCCCCUUACGAAAGCGUACUCUGGUCUUCUUCGGACAAAAAGACGUUUUCCAUCUGGAAAACGUAUUUUUUGAUAAGGCACUUUUGGUUUUUCCGGCUGAGGGACUUUUUGUGAGGAUUUUCUUACAGAAAGGUCCCUGACAGAAAAACAACUAUAUCUUUUCAACCACAACUCCUAUUUAGGUGAUUCCAAAGCCCACUUCUUCAUCUCUUUGAGCCCAAACUUUUGGUAACAUUUUCACUAUGUUUUGACAUUCUGAAAAUGACUAUUUUGCCCUUUCCCCAAUCAGCCCCCUCUGAGAGAGAACCUUUCCGGCGAUUGCUUCCGCGAUCUUUCCACACUUCUCCCUAGAGCUUUCUUCAUCCCCAGGCAAGCCACAACCACCAUUUGCAUGAUAGAAAUGCAGAAGCAUUGGUUUUCAACUUGAAUCUUUAAUAAAUGUUUGAUGGUUUUGCUACUGCUAUCGUUAUUUUGGUUAUGCUUAUGGAUCGGUGUUACCGUCAUGUUUUCUUGCACUCUGUUGUUAUGUUCUUGAUGCUAGUAUUACGUUACUAUUGGCAAUGUUUGGUAGUAGUACAUGUUGGUGAUGGUCUUCGGUGCAUGACUUUUGGCUGUCCCGAGUACUGUCGUUAUGCAUGUUUCUUUGCGUCGAGUCGAUUAAAUACUUGCAUGGUAGUUAUUUUUAUGCUAGUGUCAUGUUAUGCUAUGAGUAGUGUUCUAGUUGUGAUAUUCAUGCUCAUCAGUAUGCCAUGCUCAUCUGCAUAAAUGGGUAAAUGUUGUUUUUAUGCUCGUUGAUUAUGAUGCAUCGCCAUGCUUAUGUUGACAUCAUGUUCAUGCAUUGUAGUUAUUUUAACAUGGCUCAGCAUAUUGCAUUCAAGUUUAACCGGAUUAAAUUGAACUUGAACAACUGUUGGCUGAGUCAUGGUGCCACCAUAUCGAUCUGACCAGUGCAACCACGCUUACCCUAUGGGGGCUCCUAACUGGGUCUAUUGUCAUGCCUCUCAUCGGUGCUUCCCGCGAGGGAAGGUUAUGCACGGGCGCUACCUUGGCCAGGUAGGACGGCAUAAGCCUUGUGUGCCCGUUGUUGAGUAUGGAUCCUUGUCCAUGUUUGGGACCGUUUUGCCACGACGGUGGCCGUUGGUGCCUUUGGUAGGCACGGGACCACCCAAGACUUAUCCCAAAGGGGAGUUGGUCGGAGUGGCCGGGAGAGCGUCAUGGCAGUAGGACGGUUUUGUCGGAAUGCUUUGGUCCACCCGAAUGGGAGUGUGAGGCCAGGGUUCCGUGAUGUGGGUACAAUAUGCUAACCUCUGCAGAGUGUGUGUGUUAAAUCUAUCGAUAGCCGCCCCCGUGGGUAUGGGCCCAGUUCGUAGUUAGUCACACUAUGGGUCAACAGUAAUAAUAAAAAUUUGCUUAAUAACAACCCUAGUUCGAUGAUGAAAGAAGUUGGUUGAUAUUUAUGUGAUCGUAAGAGGAUCACUGUGGUAUUGUGAAUACCGACUUGUUGGAUACUUGUGGUGUUAUGCGAGAGUCAAGGGUAAAGGUCAAGCUCCUUGUGGUCAUGAAUGAUUACUACGGUAUUGUUAAUACCAAGCUUGAUUUGGAUCCUGUGACGAUCGUGUGAUUUCCGUGAUGGUAAGUUUGUGCAUGUGAUGGUUACGAGGUAACCCGAGUAGAGUAAGUUGGUGCAUGAUAGUGUCAUCAGGUUGCAUAAUAGUUUCAUCAUGGUUAUAUGUUCAUGCCAUGCUUAUAUUGUGCUAGCUGUAUCAUGUUAUUCAUGCCAUGUUGUUCUGAUGAUGUUAUGUUAAUCCUUGUUAACCUGUUAUUGCCAUGCUAUUGUUUGUCUUGAUUGCUUCGGUUGAUGUGAGCUUGCAAGUACAUUCAAUGUACUGACCUAGCAUGUCAUGCCAGUUUGCAGGUCAUGCUAGAUUUGAUUGCUUCUUUGCCGUGGAUUCCUUGUUUGCGAGCUAGGAUAAGCGUUCCAGCCAGAGUCCCUGCGGAGUGGAGUUCACCACCAUCGUUGCUGUUCCGCUGCCAGUAGUCAUUCCGCUGCUUCGUGUUGUUCUGCUGCUUGGAUGGAGCAACCAUGGCAUGCGUAGUUUCGCCGUGCCGAUGUAACCCCCCUUGUACCCAAUAUAGAUUGCAAUAAAGAGAUGGUUUGUUCUAUGCUAAGCAGUGCCAUAUUCCAGAAGACUUCUCCUUGAUCUCUAGGCUGGAAUACGGGGUGUUCUG
This 2765-nucleotide long non-coding RNA is filed under the name Triticum aestivum (bread wheat). RNAcentral's name for it is "long non-coding RNA (TAES_LNC008565)". Lineage: Eukaryota; Viridiplantae; Streptophyta; Magnoliopsida; Poales; Poaceae. The record is from RNAcentral.